AACGAACGCUGGCGGCGUGCCUAACACAUGCAAGUCGAACGAGAAAGUGGCUUCGGCUCCGCGUAAAGUAGCGCACGGGUGAGUAACACGAGGGUAACCUGCCCCGGAGAUUGGGAUAACUCGUCGAAAAAUGAGCAAAGACCGCAUAAGACGACAGAUUCCGCGGGAAAAGUGGGGCAAGGUAGUCACUGCAUGCAAGCAAUGCCGUAGGGUUGGGCCUGCGCACCAUUAGUUAGUUGUUAGGGUAACGGCCUACCAAGGCAAAGAUGGUUAGUGGGUAUGAGAGGAUGGUCAGCCACCCUGGUACGGAGACACGGUCCCGACUCCUCCGGGAGGCAGCCGUGGGGAAUAUUGCGCGCUGGGGGAGAGAUUGACGCAGCAACGCCGCGUGAGUGAUGCAGGAAUUCCGGUCGUGAAGCUCUGUCGGGAGGCACGAAUGAUCCUGAGGUUAACAGCCUCGGGAGGUGACGGUACCUGAAAAGGAAGCCCCGGCUAACUCUGUG
This 503-nucleotide ribosomal RNA is filed under the name uncultured bacterium. RNAcentral describes it as "partial 16S ribosomal RNA". It matches the Rfam family "Bacterial small subunit ribosomal RNA", at positions 29 to 507 of the family's 1533-position model. The record is from RNAcentral.